Molecule: ribosomal RNA, 253 nt
Filed under: uncultured bacterium
Lineage: Bacteria
Description: partial 16S ribosomal RNA
Rfam family: Bacterial small subunit ribosomal RNA
Source: RNAcentral
GACAGAGGAGGCAAGCGUUGUUCGGAAUCACUGGGCUUAAAGGGCGCGUAGGCGGCUCGGAAAGUGUUCUGUGAAAUCCCCCGGCUCAACCGGGGAACGGCAGGGCAAACUCCCGAGCUUGAGGUCGGUAGAGGUGCCUGGAACUCUAGGUGGAGCGGUGAAAUGCGUAGAUAUCUAGAGGAACGCCAGAGGCGAAAGCGGGGCACUGGGCCGAUUCUGACGCUGAGGCGCGAAAGCGUGGGGAGCAAACAGG